AGCGCGCGUGCGCAGUCGGGCCGUAAACAAGCCCGCCCCGUCCCCUCGGCCCGCCUCCGUGGGGCUGGCCCGCGGGUGGGCGGGGCCAGAGGGGAGAGGCGGGGGGAGGAGAGCGAACGCCGGGGACGGCGCCUGCGCGGUGGGCGUGAUCCGGGCACUUAGGGCAGGAUGAACGCUGCUUUCCAAGAUGGCGACGGAGGGAGGAGGGAAGGAGAUGAACGAGAUUAAGACCCAAUUCACCACCCGGGAAGGUCUGUACAAGCUGCUGCCGCACUCGGAGUACAGCCGGCCCAACCGGGUGCCCUUCAACUCGCAGGGAUCCAACCCUGUGCGCGUCUCCUUCGUAAACCUCAACGACCAGUCUGGCAACGGCGACCGCCUCUGCUUCAAUGUGGGCCGGGAGCUCUACUUCUAUAUCUACAAGGGGGUCCGCAAGGCUGCUGACUUGAGUAAACCAAUAGAUAAAAGGAUAUACAAAGGAACACAGCCUACUUGUCAUGACUUCAACCACCUCACAGCCACAGCAGAAAGUGUCUCUCUCCUAGUGGGCUUUUCCGCAGGCCAAGUCCAGCUUAUAGACCCAAUCAAAAAAGAAACUAGCAAACUAUUUAAUGAGGAAAGACUAAUAGACAAGUCACGAGUAACCUGUGUCAAGUGGGUCCCCGGCUCGGAAAGCCUUUUCCUAGUGGCUCAUUCGAGUGGGAACAUGUACUUGUAUAACGUGGAGCACACUUGUGGCACCACUGGCCCUCACUACCAGCUCCUGAAGCAGGGAGAGAGCUUUGCCGUGCACACUUGCAAGAGCAAAUCCACGAGGAACCCUCUCCUUAAGUGGACGGUGGGCGAGGGGGCCCUCAAUGAGUUUGCUUUCUCCCCAGAUGGCAAGUUCUUAGCGUGCGUGAGCCAGGACGGGUUCCUGCGGGUAUUCAACUUUGACUCGGUGGAGCUGCACGGUACGAUGAAAAGCUACUUUGGGGGCUUGCUGUGUGUGUGCUGGAGCCCGGACGGCAAGUACAUUGUGACGGGUGGAGAGGACGACUUGGUGACAGUCUGGUCUUUUGUAGACUGCCGAGUAAUAGCUAGAGGCCAUGGGCACAAGUCCUGGGUCAGUGUGGUGGCCUUUGACCCCUAUACCACUAGUGUGGAAGAAAGUGACCCUAUGGAGUUCAGUGGCAGUGACGAGGACUUCCAAGACCUUCUCCAUUUUGGCAGAGAUCGAGCAAAUAGUACACAGUCCCGGCUGUCCAAACGGAACUCUACAGACAGCCGCCCCGUAAGUGUCACAUACCGGUUUGGUUCAGUGGGCCAGGACACACAGCUGUGCUUGUGGGACCUCACAGAAGACAUCCUUUUCCCUCACCAACCCCUUUCGCGAGCAAGGACACACACGAAUGUCAUGAAUGCCACAAGUCCUCCUGCUGGAAGCAAUGGGAACAGUGUCACCACGCCCGGAAACUCCAUGCCCCCUCCUCUGCCGCGGUCCAACAGCCUUCCCCACUCAGCAGUCUCCAAUGCUGGCAGCAAAAGCAGCGUCAUGGAUGGCGCCAUUGCUUCUGGGGUCAGCAAGUUUGCGACACUCUCACUACACGACCGGAAGGAGAGGCACCACGAGAAAGAUCACAAGCGAAACCAUAGCAUGGGACACAUUUCUAGCAAGAGUAGUGACAAACUGAAUCUAGUUACUAAAACAAAAACGGACCCUGCUAAAACUCUGGGAACGCCCCUGUGUCCUCGAAUGGAAGACGUCCCUUUGUUAGAGCCACUGAUCUGUAAAAAGAUAGCGCAUGAAAGACUGACGGUAUUGAUUUUCCUUGAAGACUGUAUAGUCACUGCUUGUCAGGAGGGAUUUGUUUGCACGUGGGGAAGGCCUGGGAAAGUGGUAAGUUUUAAUCCUUAAUGCUGCACCGGAUCUAGACUUGAAUAGGUAGUAACUGUUUUUUCUCGAGGGGGGGUGGGGUGUACAAUGAAUGUGAAUGACACUUCUGAUUCUUGAUGUAAAUCCAAAUGCAUCAGAGCCAUAAUUUUGGAUACUGCAUGCCAUGUAAUUCCGAAUCAUUUGAUAAUUCACCUGAGAGCAUUUAAAAAUAUAAUCAAGCGAGUUGCCAGCCAGGUCAGUCAUCCUCUUGGGAGCGUAGAGUCCCAAGGCCAGCACUCCUGUGUCAGACUAUUUCAGGUGUAGGAAAAUCAUGACAGUGUUGGGAAACGAUGACUUUAAAAUGCUACAAUUAAAAUCGAUGCUUUAACUGGAAUACUUUUGCUUAACUACUCCAUUAGAGUAUUGUACACCUGAUCAGAGUGUGUGUUCAGUACAAGGGGCCGUUGCCAUUUAUAGUCCACUUUUUUAUCUUAAUCAUAAAACUGUUUAGGAGUCUAUGAAAUUUAACGUUAGGGACAAAGCGUUCAGGGUUGAUUGAUAUUAUUUUUACAUUGUUCUGGCAAUCCACAGAAGGAGAAGAGCCUUAAUUUUUAAAACCCAUUUUAGUCAUUUUAUGACAAUUAAAAUUGUUUAAUAAACAUCUUUUUUCAAAGAAGCAGUUUGUAGAACUUUGAUUGAGAUUCUGUGCACUAAAGUCUUCACAUGACCCAGAGUCUGGACAGAGAGUGAACUGUGGGCUGAGGUCGCCAACAGCUGUUGUCAGAAGUGCCUCUUGCCGCAUGAGCCAAGACCUUUGACCUCAGAUGCACUUUACAUACUUUUUUUUUUCCCCAGUGAGAGAAGAGGAGGGUUCUUUGUAUUUUGCUUUGUUUGGUUUUGUUUUUGUUUGGCUCAGCAAGACAUGUGACUGCAGCCUGUGGCAGCGCUGCCUGACAGGCACCUGCUUGGGUUCAGUCUCCCACAGGGGACGCGCAGGGCAGGCUUUGCUGUCCCCUCUUCCUGGAAGGCAGUUGUGACUCUGCCAUUACUCCUGGGACGCUGAUGCUGCCCGGCACCUCUGCAGGGCCCCGGGGCCUGCGGCCGUUCAGGAGUGGGGCCGCGUGGCCUCCUCUGCCCCCGGGAGGCUGUGCUGCAGGACUGGGCUGGUUCCCUCAGGAUCGCUGUCAGCCGCGGAGGGGCUUUUCGAAUCCCAGUUUGCACAGUGGGUGAGCCGGCAGAGCACUUCUGCAGGCAGGAGGACAGAGUGCAAGGUGUUCUCCAAGACCAGAACUAAGGUGCCCGGCAGCCGGAGAGAAGAGGGCCCUGCAGAGAGGGGCGGGCGGGCCCCUGCUUGGAUGUGCUGCUGAGUCCUGGCUCCCACAGACCUGGGAGGGGUGGGGCGGGCAGGGCAGCCACGCUGGCUCCUGACCGCGGAUGUGUGAGGUACAGUCAGUGCCACGCCACCUCCAGUGACUGCCAGGAGAACCGGGGGGAACACCUUCACAAUUUUCUCACUGAACUUUGAGCUUCCCUGUGAGUUUUUCAGCUCAGAAUUGAAUAUGGGUGAGAAUAUCUUUCUCUGACCUAAGCCUUGGAAUAAAUAAAACCCAGCAAUUGGAAGAGGAGGCCGUCGUUCCUUGGUCAGCACUGCUUGGCCGUUGUGUGCUGAGCCGCGUACCUGGAAGGCUCAGACAGCAGUCAAGUGCAGUACCGCCUGACGGUCGUCCUGGGCCAAGGUGCUGGGGGCCCCUCGGCUUGCCCUGCCCCGGCUCGCCACUUUUAGACCUUCCGGUAGGUCCAGAGGCCAGCUCCACGUGGUCAUUUCCAGCAGGCAGGCCAGCCCUCCCCGAGAGGCUAAAGGAGGGGGUGUGUAAGAGAGAGCAGGCAGACACCUUAAAAAUACUGGAGCAUUCGGGCUCUGACGUUACGUGCGUACGUGGUGGCACAGAGCCUGAGCUGUGUGCUGCUUGAAUCUUGCAGCAGUUCGGAAGUGUCCUUGGAGCCGUGGGCCUGGGACUGAGGGAACUGCGCAGCUGAUGGUGGUCUCAGACGCUCCAGUACCAGGAGGGGCAAGGCUCUGCCUUCUUCCAGCCCCACAGCAGGCAGCCCCUCCCCCCACCCCACUCCUGUGGCGCAUCUGGACUUUUUAAGUAUUAGAUUCACCCUCAGUCCUGCCACGCACCUGCAGCUGAGUGCGAGGCCCCCUUGCAGCCUGCCUGGGAGAGGCCGUCUUUGCUGAGCGAGCUCAGUGUGAGGAGCGGGGGGAGCUGACCGCCAGCGAUAGACACAAGCGCCGCGUCCUGUUCCUGCAGAAGAGCUGGAAGCAGGCUGCACCCGAGGCUUCUGCGGGGGAAGGAUGUGUCUUUUCUGUGGGUGAGGGCUUGGCUGAGGGGCCUCCACGCCAGGGAACGCAGGGAAGGAAGCAAGUGGCUCGUGGCAGUGGCUGCGCCCGGUGUUGAGGUCAGCCCGCAGCAGCGGGACUGCACGCCUGUGUAGGCCUACGGGGCGCCCUGAGACACUGAGGGUUACCCUGGGCCACGGCAGGGAGCGGCCACAGGGCAGAGCUGGCAAGGCCUUUCCCUGUCCAGAGUGCCCCGCACCCAGGGCUGAUGGGGACCUCAGGUCAUGACCCAGACUGGUGACCGCUGAAAGGCACAUGCGCUCACCCGUCGCCUUCGGGACCGGGCUCACGAGGAGCCGCGCCGGCGCCCUGCUCACCCACGCUGCGCCUGCUGCAUCCACCUCGGGUCCUAGUCGAGUUGUUGUCUCUCAGUCUAAAAGUGUAAAAGAGAAACCCCCUGCAUAAUAUGCAGAGCUCAUUGAAGACUGUUACCUUAGGUAAAAACACUGUAUGAAAUUGUAUGAAUAUUAACUUGCAGUGGAAAUCAAAAGAAAAAUCCACAUGUAUUUAUUUCCUUUUUAAAAUUUUCAUCUUAACUUGAAUAAAUUUCAUAAAGAGCCUUCCUAACAUGAAAUAUUGGUAAAUUUUUAACUCUUGCAAUAAUUAAUGAAGCUUUAAAAAUGUCAGUGUUGUUGCUUUAUAAACUUAAGAUCAUGUUUCUGUUUCACUGCUUUGUUUUAGCUGUUCCCUUGUCACUGUCACAGCUGAAGAGGUUCACUACGUACUUGGUAUUCUGACGUACUUUUUGAGGCUGUCCUCUGUAUAUUGACAUUAAAUAAACAUGCGAGUGAAUUGUAAA
Non-coding RNA from Oryctolagus cuniculus (rabbit), 5055 nucleotides. The record is from RefSeq and is a predicted model, not a curated record. NCBI's taxonomy places the organism in Eukaryota, Metazoa, Chordata, Mammalia, Lagomorpha, Leporidae.